AACCGACUCAGGUGGUCAGGUAGAGAAUACCAAGGAGAUCGAGAGAAUCGUGGUUAAGGAACUCGGCAAAAUACCCCCGUAACUUCGGGAGAAGGGGGGCCGUCGGCGUAUAGGGAGUUACUCUCAAAAGCGUUUGGAGGCCGCAGAGACUAGUGGGUAGCGACUGUUUACCAAAAACACAGGUCCGUGUCAAGUCGCAAGACGAUGUAUAAGGGCUGACGCCUGCCCGGUGCUGGAAGGUUAAGAGGGGCGGUGCUGGAAGGUUAAGAGGGGCGGUUAUCCGCCAGGCGAAGCUGAGUAUUUAAGCCCCAGUAAACGGCGGUGGUAACUAUAAUCGGCCUAAG
This 344-nucleotide ribosomal RNA is filed under the name Schinkia azotoformans. RNAcentral's name for it is "bacterial LSU rRNA". It matches the Rfam family "Bacterial large subunit ribosomal RNA", at positions 1652 to 1955 of the family's 2925-position model. The record is from RNAcentral. Lineage: Bacteria; Bacillati; Bacillota; Bacilli; Caryophanales; Bacillaceae.